GUUGAUCCCGCCGGAGGCCACUGCUAUUGGAGUUCGACUAAGCCAUGCGAGUUCAGGGGGGCUUUGCCCACCAGCGGACGGCUCAGUAACACGUGGACAACCUACCCUCAGGAGGGGGAUAACCCUUGGAAACAGGGGCUAAACCCCCAUAGAUCAUGGAUGCUGGAAUGCACCGUGGUUGAAAUUCCUUCGGGAGCCUGAGGAUGGGUCUGCGGCCUAUCAGGUUGUAGUGGGGGUAAUGGCCCCACUAGCCUAUGACGGGUACGGGCCCUGAGAGGGGGAGCCCGGAGAUGGACUCUGAGACACGAGUCCAGGCCCUACGGGGCGCAGCAGGCGCGAAACCUUCGCAAUGCAGGCAACUGCGACGAGGGGACUCCAAGUGCCUACGCACAGCGUAGGCUGUUCUUAAGCCUAGAAAGCUUGGGGAGUAAGGGCUGGGUAAGACGGGUGCCAGCCGCCGCGGUAAUACCCGCAGCCCARGUGGUGGCCGUUUUUAUUGGGCCUAAAGCGUCCGUAGCCGGUUUGGUAAAUGCCUGGGUAAAUCAUGGGAGCCUAACUUCAUGAAUUUCCGGGUAGACUGCCAGACUUGGGACCGGAAGAGGAAAGGGGGUACUUCAGGGGUAGGGGUGAAAUCCUGUAAUCCCUGGAGGACCACCCGUGGCGAAGGCGCUCUUCUAACACGGAUCCGACGGUGAGGGACGAAAGCCAGGGGAGCAAACCGGAUUAGAUACCCGGGUAGUCCUGGCCGUAAACGAUGUGGACUUGGUAUGUGGAUGGUCAUGAGCUGUCCAAGUGCCGUAGGGAAGCCGUUAAGUUCACCGCCUGGGGAGUAUGGUCGCAAGGCUGAAACUUAAAGGAAUUGGCGGGGGAGCACUGCAACGGGAGGAGCGUGCGGUUUAAUUGGAUUCAACGCCGGAAAACUCACCGGGGGAGACUGCCGCAUGUGAGCCAGGCUGAAGACCUUGCUCGAAUAAUAGGUAGAGAGGUGGUGCAUGGCCGCCGUCAGCUCGUACCGUAGGGCGUUCUGUUAAGUCAGGUAACGAGCGAGACCCCUGUCUUUAGUUGCUAUCUGUGCCUCUGGGUGCAGAGCACACUAGAGGGACCGCUGGCGCUAAGCCAGAGGAAGGAGGGGGCAACGGUAGGUCAGUAUGCCCUGAAUCCUUCGGGCUACACGCGCGCUACAAAGGCUGGGAUAAUGGGUUGCUACCUCGAGAGAGGACGCUAAUCCCUAAACCUAGUCAUAGUUCGGACCGAGGGCUGUAACUCGCCCUCGUGAAGGUGGAUUCCGUAGUAAUCGCGUCUCAACAUGGCGCGGUGAAUAUGCCCCUGCUCCUUGCACACACCGCCCGU
Molecule: ribosomal RNA, 1350 nt
Filed under: uncultured archaeon
Lineage: Archaea
Description: 16S ribosomal RNA
Rfam family: Archaeal small subunit ribosomal RNA
Source: RNAcentral